RNAcentral lists this small nucleolar RNA (138 nucleotides) under Zea mays. Its description in RNAcentral is "Small nucleolar RNA Z247". It matches the Rfam family "Small nucleolar RNA Z247". Rfam says of the family: Z247 is a member of the C/D class of snoRNA which contain the C (UGAUGA) and D (CUGA) box motifs. The record is from Rfam by way of RNAcentral. Lineage: Eukaryota; Viridiplantae; Streptophyta; Magnoliopsida; Poales; Poaceae.
CCCCUAGAAGAUGAGGAGUUGGUAGAAUACAUCCUCACUGGUCUUGAUGAUGAGUAUGACUCAGUGGUCUCCUCCAUCCUCGCACGAUCUGAACCAGUUUCAGUGAGUGAAUUGUCUCUCAACUGCUUGCUUUCGAGA